Molecule: ribosomal RNA, 760 nt
Filed under: uncultured marine bacterium
Lineage: Bacteria
Description: bacterial SSU rRNA
Rfam family: Bacterial small subunit ribosomal RNA
Source: RNAcentral
UGCAAGUUGAGCGAAGCUUUUUGGUAGUUUACUACUAGAAAUGACUGAGCGGCGAACGGGUGAGUAACGCGUGAGCAAUCUACCUUAGUUACUGGGAUAGCCCGAGGAAACUCGGAUUAAUACCGGAUAUUCUUAUUUUUUCACAUGAAGUUUUAAGGAAAGGUCAGCCGAACUAAGAUGAGCUCGCGUUCUAUCAGCUAGUUGGUGGGGUAAAAGCCUACCAAGGCUACGACGGAUAGCUGGUCUGAGAGGACGAUCAGCCACACUGGGACUGAGACACGGCCCAGACUCCUACGGGAGGCUGCAGCAGGGAAUAUUGUGCAAUGAGCGAAAGCUUGACACAGCGACACCGCGUGUGGGAUGACGGUUCUAGGAUUGUAAACCACUUUCAGGAGGGAAGAAAAUGACGGUACCUCCACAAGAAGACCCAGCCAACUAUGUGCCAGCAGCCGCGGUAAUACAUAGGGGUCAAGCGUUGUCCGGAUUUAUUGGGCGUAAAGAGCUCGUAGGCGGUUCAACAAGUCGGUCGUAAAAGUUUAGGGCUCAACCCUAAAAUGUCGAUCGAUACUGUUGUGACUAGGAUACGGUAGAGGUGAAUGGAAUUCCGAGUGUAGCGGUGAAAUGCGUAGAUAUUCGGAGGAACACCAAUUGCGAAGGCAGUUCCCUGGACCGUGAUCGACGCUGAGGAGCGAAAGCUAGGGGAGCAAACAGGAUUAGAUACCCUGGUAGUCCUAGCUGUAAACGAUGGAUACUAGAUGUA